Molecule: ribosomal RNA, 451 nt
Filed under: uncultured bacterium
Lineage: Bacteria
Description: partial 16S ribosomal RNA
Rfam family: Bacterial small subunit ribosomal RNA
Source: RNAcentral
GAUGAACGCUGGCGGCGUGCCUAACACAUGCAAGUCGAGCGGCAGCGAGGGGUGCUUGCACCCUGUCGGCGAGCGGCGGACGGCUGAGUAACGCGUGGGAACGUGCCCCAAAGUGAGGAAUAACUGCCCGAAAGGGUAGCUAAUACCGCAUAUUAUCUUCGGAUCAAAGGAUUUAUCCGCUUUGGGAGCGGCUCGCGUCGGAUUAGGUAGUUGGUGAGGUAAUGGCUCACCAAGCCGACGAUCCGUAGCUGGUCUGAGAGGAUGACCAGCCAGACUGGAACUGAGACACGGUCCAGACUCCUACGGGAAGCAGCAGUGAGGAAUCUUCCACAAUGGGCGAAAGCCUGAUGGAGCAACGCCGCGUGCAGGACGAAGGCCUUCGGGUUGUAAACUGCUUUUAUAAGCGAGGAAUAUGACGGUAACUUAUGAAUAAGGAUCGGCUAACUACGUG